CACCUUCGGUGUCCGAGUUGUAAUUUGAAGAAGGUAACUUUGGAGUUGGCUCUUGUCUAUGUUCCUUGGAACAGGACGUCACAGAGGGUGAGAAUCCCGUGCGAUGAGAUGCCCAAUUCUAUGUAAAGUGCUUUCGAAGAGUCGAGUUGUUUGGGAAUGCAGCUCUAAGUGGGUGGUAAAUUCCAUCUAAAGCUAAAUAUUGGCGAGAGACCGAUAGCGAACAAGUACAGUGAUGGAAAGAUGAAAAGAACUUUGAAAAGAGAGUGAAAAAGUACGUGAAAUUGUUGAAAGGGAAGGGCUUGAGAUCAGACUUGGUAUUUUGCAAGCCUUACCUUCGUGGUGGGGUCCCCUGCAGUUUACUGGGCCAGCAUCGGUUUGGAUGGUAGGAUAAUGACUUGGGAAUGUGACUUUGCUUCGGUAAAGUGUUAUAGCCCUUGUUGAUACUGCCUGUCUAGACCGAGGACUGCGUCUUUGACUAGGAUGCUGGCAUAAUGAUCUUAAGUCGCCCGUC
This 511-nucleotide ribosomal RNA is filed under the name Schwanniomyces polymorphus var. polymorphus. Its description in RNAcentral is "eukaryotic LSU rRNA". It matches the Rfam family "Eukaryotic large subunit ribosomal RNA", at positions 126 to 653 of the family's 3401-position model. Lineage: Eukaryota; Fungi; Ascomycota; Pichiomycetes; Serinales; Debaryomycetaceae. The record is from RNAcentral.